This 484-nucleotide ribosomal RNA is filed under the name uncultured bacterium. RNAcentral describes it as "partial 16S ribosomal RNA". It matches the Rfam family "Bacterial small subunit ribosomal RNA", at positions 30 to 507 of the family's 1533-position model. The record is from RNAcentral.
AUUGAACGCUGGCGGCAGGCCUAACACAUGCAAGUCGAGCGGAUGAAGGGAGCUUGCUCCUGGAUUCAGCGGCGGACGGGUGAGUAAUGCCUAGGAAUCUGCCUGGUUGUGGGGGAUAACGUCCGGAAACGGGCGCUAAUACCGCAUACGUCCUGAGGGAGAAAGUGGGGGAUCUUCGGACCUCACGCUAUCAGAUGAGCCUAGGUCGGAUUAGCUAGUUGGUGGGGUAAAGGCCUACCAAGGCGACGAUCCGUAACUGGUCUGAGAGGAUGAUCAGUCACACUGGAACGGAGACACGGUCCAUACUCCUACGGGAGGCAGCAGUGGGGAAUAUUGGACAAUAGGCGAAAGCCUGAUCCAGCCAGGCCGCGUGUGUGAAGAAGGUCUUCGGAUUGUAAAGCACGUUAAGUUGGGAGGAAGGGCAGUAAGUUAAUACCUUGCUGGUUUGACGGUACCAACAGAAGAAGCACCGGCUAACUUCGUG